CGGUGUUCAACUGGCGUGUCCGCGGGACGUCCUGCCGGUGGGCUUAGCCCGCAAGGGCGGCCCAACUUCAAAUCCCAUCGCGGUGCUCUUCACUGAGUGUCGAGGUGGGCCGGCACGUUUACCUUGAACAAAUUAGAGUGCUUAAAGCAGGCUAAAACUUCGCCUGAAUACUGUGUGCAUGGAAUAAUGGAAUAGGACCUCGGUUCUAUUUUGUUGGUUUUCGGAACCCCGAGGUAAUGAUUAAUAGGAACGGAUGGGGGCAUUCGUAUUGCGACGUUAGAGGUGAAAUUCUUGGAUCGUCGCAAGACGGACAGAAGCGAAAGCAUUUGCCAAAAACGCUUUCAUUGAUCAAGAACGAAAGUUAGAGGUUCGAAGGCGAUCAGAUACCGCCCUAGUUCUAACCAUAAACGAUGCCAGCUAGCGAUCCGUCGACGUUCCUCCGAUGACUCGACGGGCAGCUUCCGGGAAACCAAAGCUUUUGGGUUCCGGGGGAAGUAUGGUUGCAAAGCUGAAACUUAAAGGAAUUGACGGAAGGGCACCACCAGGAGUGGAGCCUGCGGCUUAAUUUGACUCAACACGGGAAACCUCACCAGGCCCGGACACCGGAAGGAUUGACAGAUUGAGAGCUCUUUCUUGAUUCGGUGGGUGGUGGUGCAUGGCCGUUCUUAGUUGGUGGAGCGAUUUGUCUGGUUAAUUCCGAUAACGAACGAGACUCUAGCCUGCUAACUAGGCGUAUUUUCGACAUCUCAAAGGUCCGUCGUCCCGGCCCUCGGGUCGUGGGCGUGCGCGAUUUUUACUGUCGGCGUACUAUCAAUUCUUCUUAGAGGGACAGGUGGCUUCUAGCCGCACGAGAUUGAGCAAUAACAGGUCUGUGAUG
This 877-nucleotide ribosomal RNA is filed under the name uncultured eukaryote. RNAcentral's name for it is "SSU rRNA". It matches the Rfam family "Eukaryotic small subunit ribosomal RNA", at positions 636 to 1469 of the family's 1831-position model. The record is from RNAcentral.